AUUGAACGCUGGCGGCAGGCCUAACACAUGCAAGUCGAACGAGUGGCGGACGGGUGAGUAAUGUCUGGGAAACUGCCUGAUGGAGGGGGAUAACUACUGGAAACGGUAGCUAAUACCGCAUACCAUCGGAUGUGCCCAGAUGGGAUUAGCGAGUAGGGGGGGUAACGGCUCACCUAGGCGACGAUCCCGAGCUGGUCUGAGAGGAUGACCAGCAACACGGGAACUGGAGCACGGUCCAGACUCCUACGGGGGGCAGCAGUGGGGAAUAUUGCACAAGGGGCGCAGGCCUGAUGCAGCCAGGCCGCGUGUAUGAAGAAGGCCUUCGGGUUGUAAAGUACUUUCAGCGGGGAGGCGUUACCCGCAGAAGAAGCACCGGCUAACUCCGUGCCAGCAGCCGCGGUAAUUC
RNAcentral lists this ribosomal RNA (406 nucleotides) under uncultured bacterium. RNAcentral's name for it is "partial 16S ribosomal RNA". It matches the Rfam family "Bacterial small subunit ribosomal RNA", at positions 29 to 526 of the family's 1533-position model. The record is from RNAcentral.